CCAGCGAUCCGCCUGAGUUCCUUAAAUGACUCGGCGGGCAGCUUCCGGGAAACCGAAGUUUUUCGGUUCCGGGGGAAGUAUGGUUGCAAAGCUGAAACUUAAAGGAAUUGACGGAAGGGCACCACCAGGAGUGGAGCCUGCGGCUUAAUUUGACUCAACACGGGAAAACUUACCCGGCCCGGACACUGGCAGGAUUGACAGAUUGAGAGCUCUUUCUUGAUUCAGUGGGUGGUGGUGCAUGGCCGUUCUUAGUUGGUGGAGCGAUUUGUCUGGUUAAUUCCGAUAACGAACGAGACUCUAGCCUACUAAAUAGGCCACCGGCUUACUGACGUCGGUGGGACUUCUUAGAGGGACAGGCGGCGAUUCAGCCGCACGAAACAGAGCAAUAACAGGUCUGUGAUGCCCUUAGAUGUCCGGGGCCGCACGCGCGCUACACUGAAGUGAUCAGCGUGCAUUACAAACCUGCUCCGUCAGGAGUGGGGAACCCAAUGAACCUUCUUCGUGAUUGGGAUAGGGGAUUGUAAUUAUUCCCCUUGAACGAGGAUUCCCAGUAAGCGCGAGUCAUAAGCUCGCGUUGAUUACGUCCCUGCCCUUUGUACACGCCGCCCGUCGCUACUACCGAUUGAAUGAUUUAGUGAGGUCUUCGGACUGGCCGGCGCAGCUGUCUUCGGGCGGCCGCGCUGUGUUUGGAAAGAUGCCCAAACUUGAUCAUUUAGAGGAAGUAAAAGUCGUAACAAGGUUUCCGU
Molecule: ribosomal RNA, 746 nt
Filed under: uncultured eukaryote
Lineage: Eukaryota
Description: SSU rRNA
Rfam family: Eukaryotic small subunit ribosomal RNA
Source: RNAcentral